CAGUAGCCGCGGUAAUACGAAGGGUGCAAGCGUUAAUCGGAAUUACUGGGCGUAAAGCGUGCGUAGGCGGUUUGUUAAGUCUGUUGUGAAAUCCCCGGGCUCAACCUGGGAAUGGCAAUGGAUACUGGCAAGCUAGAGUGUGUCAGAGGAUGGUGGAAUUCCCGGUGUAGCAGUGAAAUGCGUGGAGAUCAAGAGGAACACUCGUGGCGAAAGCGAGCUACUGGACGAUAUCUGACGCUGAGGCUCGAAGGCCAGGGUAGCGAAAGGGACUAGAUACCCCCGUAGUCCCUGUCUCUUAUAC
Molecule: ribosomal RNA, 301 nt
Filed under: uncultured bacterium
Lineage: Bacteria
Description: partial 16S ribosomal RNA
Rfam family: Bacterial small subunit ribosomal RNA
Source: RNAcentral